GAAGGCACGACAUUGCUCACAUUGCUUCCCGUGUUUUCUAGCCAGCCGAGUGCUGGCUUCUUUUU
RNAcentral lists this non-coding RNA (65 nucleotides) under Izhakiella capsodis. Lineage: Bacteria; Pseudomonadati; Pseudomonadota; Gammaproteobacteria; Enterobacterales; Erwiniaceae. The record is from RNAcentral.